ACAAACACCAGGCAUAAGCUGCUAUGCAGCUCGUGGUCCCAGGGUCCUUUCCACACACUGACGAUGUAUGGCCUGCCUCUCGAUGGCCUGAGUACAGAUCCUCUCGCCAUCAGACAGGAGAAAAGGUACAGAGACUCAGACCAUCUGCUCCAUCAUGGCACUGAGCACAGAUGUGGCACCCUGUGGCUGCUCUGAGGAGAAUAGAAAUGCCUGUCUGUGAGCUCUCCAUGAAAGCCUGUGCCAGCGUGGCUCCUAGCACAGUAUGGCAGCACUCUUGGGCAGUGCCAAGGGGACAGUUCAGCCGCUCUGGAAGAUUAGUGGAGUUACAUCUGCUUCACUAAAAUAAAACUAUUGGGACCAAGAGGGGCCGUAGCUGAGCACCUCAUCCCAGCUGCCAACUGAUUGUAGCUGCCACCCCAUGAGCACGGCUGAUGCUAACUCCAACCCCAAUGACCAACCAGGUGUAAUUCAGUCUGUCAGCCCAACUUGCAUAGGCCUAGAGGGCAGAGGGAUUGGCACUUAGUGUCUUCAUUGCAGGUGGCACACUCUGCUCUGUUCAGGGAGCUGAAGACAGUGGAUGACUGCAGAAGCUCAAGGACACACUAUCAUUGCUACAGAGACUCAAAGCCUAAGCAACCAAGACAGACUGCCCAGAUCCUGCUCCUCCCAAAUGGAGAAGUACCUGUCGUCAGUUAAAGGAGAAAUAUUCAUGACUGUGCUGGGUUCUGAACCAAUGAGCUUCAGAGGAGGGUAACAGUGCUGGUAAGGACGUGGUGGCCAAGGCAGUGACCAGAUCCCUCUGCCAUGUCCCUGGGACCUUGCACAUAACCUCUGCUCAAGGAGGCUCCCAAGGGCACUGCAAGAAGGCCUGGAGUCAAGAGUGCUGUUCAGUGUAAAGAUUUGACUAUCCCACUGUUACCUGGGGCAAUUUUUUAAACUGGAAAGACAACAGUUUGAGAUGUUAAGGAACACAUGCCUAGUUGAAGCGUGCUCCUGCCAAGACCUUUGGUUCUCUACCUUGGAGAGUACCAGCCCGCUCCUUCCAGGUACUACCCCACACUGACUUCCAAAUGUGGGAGAGAGACAUCCCACGUCUCUUCACCAGAAUCAAGCAUGAAAGCCCCACAGCACUGCAUCUGGGAGUCUGCCAGGCCUGUCUAUAAUUGUGCUGGUCAGCCAGGUGCCAGGUGCAGGUGGCAGAGAAAACCCAAUUGCCCCAUCGACUGUUUGGUUUUUUGGUUUUCUUUAUUGGUGGUGGUGGUGGUGGGUUUUUGUUUUGCUUUGUUUUGUUUUGUUGAUUUGUUUUGUUUUGUUUUUUGAGACAGGGUUUCUCUUGGUAGCUCUGUUAUUCUGGAACUCACUCUGUAGAUCAGGUUAGCCUAAACUCACAGAGAUCUACCUGUCUCUGCCUCUCAAGUGCUAGGAUUAAAGGUGUGCACCAUCAUUACCAGGCACCUCGAGGCUGUUAUAAAAGGAGCUGACACUGUGGGCAUCACCAGAAGGUUCUAAUGGAGUGGGGUCAUCUCUUGGCAUACUUCACUGGCCCUGAAGCAGGAUUAAGAGAAAGGAUGAAUCUCUCCCCUCUCCUAGGCCUGAACCACACCUAAUUCCAGGUCACCAGAUACCCUGCUCUAAAUUCAGGGUGCUAGUAGCUGUCCCCAAAGCCCAAGUGUUUCUACUUCCUACUUUAGUCAAACCGAAGAACGAAAGCAGCUGCCUAAUGUUUGCUGUGCUGCGGGGAUCUGGUCAGCAAGCUCUAUUAUCUUAUGAACUCCAUUAUUGUCUCCACUUGAAAGGAAAGGAAACUGAGGCUCAAGAGGUCAAACAGGUUGCCCAAGACCAUCCAGAAGUUGGUAGGAUGGGCUGGAAGUCAAAGCAUUUGAAUCCAGGGUUCAAACUCUUGUUCUCUAGCAUGUCAAAGAGCAUGAAAUAACACCACCAGGGGGACUUUCUAUUCAGCCUUCAUCAAGUGGUACAGAGCACGGGGACCAGUAUGGAAAGUGGCUAUAAGGACACCCAGAGCCAAGGUCCCAGGAAUGAGGCAAAGGACAGAGCAAGCAAGGCAUGCAGGAGGCAGAGGCCCUGAGGCACAGACCAAACUCAGGUCCAAACAGUUGAGGAAAGAGUUAAAAACAACUGAGGCAGGAGUGGGGUGUCGAGCAACUCCUUAUCAGCUCUGGGAUUUAGAACUGUUUGCAGAAAAGACAAGGAAGCCAAAGGGGCAUUUUCUCUGCCCAUCCCUCCUAUCUGAAGACUUUCUGUAGGAUGUAUAACUCCAAUUAAACCUGAGGCAGGAGAAUCAUCUAUGUAGACUCCAGUGCCCCCUCU
Molecule: long non-coding RNA, 2328 nt
Filed under: Mus caroli (Ryukyu mouse)
Lineage: Eukaryota; Metazoa; Chordata; Mammalia; Rodentia; Muridae
Description: predicted gene 4279 (MGP_CAROLIEiJ_G0002951.1)
Source: RNAcentral